AUACGGAGGGGGUUAGCGUUGUUCGGAAUUACUGGGCGUAAAGCGCGCGUAGGCGGACAUUUAAGUCAGGGGUGAAAUCCCGGGGCUCAACCCCGGAACUGCCCUUGAUACUGGGUGUCUUGAGUUCGAGAGAGGUGAGUGGAAUUCCGAGUGUAGAGGUGAAAUUCGUAGAUAUUCGGAGGAACACCAGUGGCGAAGGCGGCUCACUGGCUCGAUACUGACGCUGAGGUGCGAAAGUGUGGGGAGCAAACAGGAUUAGAUACCCUGGUAGUCCACACCGUAAACGAUGAAUGCCAGUCGUCGGGCAGUAUACUGUUCGGUGACACACCUAACGGAUUAAGCAUUCCGCCUGGGGAGUACGGUCGCAAGAUUAAA
Molecule: ribosomal RNA, 375 nt
Filed under: uncultured bacterium
Lineage: Bacteria
Description: bacterial SSU rRNA
Rfam family: Bacterial small subunit ribosomal RNA
Source: RNAcentral